Molecule: long non-coding RNA, 1265 nt
Organism: Salmo salar (Atlantic salmon)
Lineage: Eukaryota; Metazoa; Chordata; Actinopteri; Salmoniformes; Salmonidae
Source: RefSeq, a predicted model, not a curated record
GGGCCAAUGAGCGUAAUUAAUAUUCAUUAAUUAUUCAAAGGGAAUACACCCAACGUUUUAAAAACGAGUAUAUGCAAACAUUUUGUAAAUGAUUAUUUUUUCGCGGAUGGAUCCAGAGUUUCUUUUGUGGUGCAUCAUUCCCAACAUGUGCACUGCGGCAAGUUGAAGAGCGACAUGAACGUUCUGAAGGUUGAAAAUAGAGCCCCCCCUUUCCCCUUUCCUCUCCAGCUGACUGACAUGUCUAAAGAGAUCCUGAAGGACGUUGAGACCUGAUGUGAGAGAUUAACUUCCCAUUCUACCCUGCUUGAAGACGUUGGAAAGGGGGACUCUGCGCCACUCUUUCUUCCCAGAGCCCCUCUAUGGGAACAUGGCCGACACCAUUGGCCAUGUCUGGUCCUCUCUAGACCUCUCUGUGUUCUCAGAGCAUGCAUAGCCGCAUCCAGUUUGUGUGUUCGUCCCCCCCUUUAUUCAUUCCAUACCCCUCCCUCCAUCCCUCUCUUUCCCCUCGUCUCUGUUGUGCCGGUUAGCCAUCGCCUAACGCAGCUAGGGCCGGGGAAUGAUGUCAUGGGUAAUGGGCAGUGUCUGCAGCAAUUCUAUCUGACAUGUUUUAUCUUUGUUCAGGCCCAUCAGGGUGGACACACACACACACACACACCUCCACAUCUCCUCAACCCCAAGGUUCACUGCUGGGCAGAUUCACCAAAACAAGCUCUGCUUUCAUUCUUUCGCCCAUCUCAAUGGCUCAGUUUCCCACAGAGAAUAGACACAGCAGGCCAGGCUAUUUUAGGAAAUGUGAUUAAAAAGAGGGUCACCCACUCACACACUAGCUAUCUGUGCUGGGACCCUGAUAGAGGCCCAAAUGGCACCCUGUUCCCUAUAUAGUGCACUACUUCUGACCAGGACCCCAUAGAGCUCUGGUGAAAAGCAGUGCACUAUAUAGGGAAUAGGGUGACAUUUGGGAAGCAUACACAAUCUUGUACCCAUUAGACCAGGGUUGUAUUUAUCAGGGCACACUGUAGCAAAACAUGUUGCAACGGAAAACAAACAUUUCUUAAUGGACAUGUUCAGAUCAUCCCUCCCUGUUUCAGUCCAUUCUUACAUUUGGUGCCUAAGGAGUACGACCCAGUGGUGAUGUUUGGCGUGUUGUUGUAUUUUUUAAUUACUAGGCCAGAUUGUUCUGCUAUCUCAUGAGUGAACAGAAAUAUAACCCAUUCACAUUAAUUUACUAAAUCUGGACUGUCCUCAAUAAAGGACCCAUAGUCCUG